Oreochromis niloticus (Nile tilapia) is the source of this 813-nucleotide long non-coding RNA. RefSeq lists it as uncharacterized. The record is from RefSeq and is a predicted model, not a curated record. Lineage: Eukaryota; Metazoa; Chordata; Actinopteri; Cichliformes; Cichlidae. The transcript is spliced from 5 exons.
UGGCAGUUGCUGUAAAACUGAUUGCUAAGCUCCGGUCACACAGACCUAGAGACCAGCCAGUAACCCCUUGGUAACCACCGGUUACUAAUGGUUAAUAUAUGCAUUCCCCCACCAGCUGCGAUAACGCUUGGACAGAUCAUUGAAUAUCAGUGCAGGGAGCAGUCAGGCUCAAGUAUGGUGUCAUCAUGAACCAUGGACAACUCAAAAUGACACGUGGCUUUAACAAUAAACCUCGCAGUGCAUUCGAAACUCUCCGUGUAGUGAUGAAUCUCAGCGUGACCUGAAAUGGCUCCUGCGUGCGAGUGUCGGGUGUAAAAGGAUGGCCGGCAGCAUUGUGUCAGCGAAGCGCGUGAAAGGCUCCGAAGCAACAAUAUUUUAGUGUGUCAUCAAGAGCACACCCCUUCCCACAGGCAGGGGCUCCCAAUCAGCCGCUGGCUACACCUCCUGUUACGCACCUGUUGGUCAUUACCUCAUCUAGCCUUUGCAUACUUAAGCUCUGGAUCCUUCAUCUGCCAUAGUGGUAAUGUCCGGCUCAGGUUUAAUGUUCUUUCUCGCUAAUGUCUCUUUUUUCAUUGAUCUUACUUUGCCUCCUCUCUUACUCCGCCUCCAGUCCCUUCUCUGGACCUGCCAUGGUUGAAUUGGAUCACUCAUCUUCUUUGGAUUAUGUCUCAGAAACCUAUUAGGAAGAAAAGGAUUUGAACUGUGUUAGAUACCCACCUGCCUGCCCACUCUCCAUCUUUUAAACCCAUUAGUGGCACUUACCUUCUCAUAAUCUGUUUUCCAGAAAAUCAUCCUUUUGCAUGUUUGUAAUUC